Molecule: small RNA, 29 nt
Filed under: Bombyx mori (domestic silkworm)
Lineage: Eukaryota; Metazoa; Arthropoda; Insecta; Lepidoptera; Bombycidae
Description: ovarian small RNA-13028
Source: RNAcentral
CACGCUUUCAAGUUACCAGGAUGGGUGUC